Molecule: ribosomal RNA, 207 nt
Filed under: uncultured bacterium
Lineage: Bacteria
Description: partial 16S ribosomal RNA
Rfam family: Bacterial small subunit ribosomal RNA
Source: RNAcentral
CGUGUAGGCGGUUUCGUAAGUCGGAUGUGAAAGCUCCUGGCUCAACUGGGAGAUGCCAUUCGAUACUGCGGGACUUGAGGACGGGAGAGGGACGUGGAAUUCCCGGUGUAGUGGUGGAAUGCGUAGAUAUCGGGAGGAACACCAGUGGCGAAGGCGACGUCCUGGCCCGCACCUGACGCUAAGACGCGAAAGCGUGGGUAGCGAACG